ACGCACGCUGGCGGCGUGCCUCAUCCCUGCCAGUCGCGCGAGUCUGCCUUGAAGAUCGGAGUGCUUGCACUCUGUGAAACAAGAUACAGGCUAGCGGCGGACGGGUGAGUAACACGUGGGUAACCUGCCCAAGAGAUCGGGAUAACACCUGGAAACAGAUGCUAAUACCGGAUAACAACAGAUGAUGCCUAUCAACUGUUUAAAAGAUGGUUCUGCUAUCACUCUUGGAUGGACCUGCGGUGCAUUAGCUAGUUGGUAGGGUAACGGCCUACCAAGGCGAUGAUGCAUAGCCGAGUUGAGAGACUGAUCGGCCACAUUGGGACUGAGACACGGCCCAAACUCCUACGGGAGGCAGCAGUAGGGAAUCUUCCACAAUGGACGCAAGUCUGAUGGAGCAACGCCGCGUGAGUGAAGAAGGGUUUCGGCUCGUAAAGCUCUGUUGUUGGUGAAGAAGGACAGGGGUAGUAACUGACCUUUGUUUGACGGUAAUCAAUGAGAAAGUCACGGCUAACUACGUG
RNAcentral lists this ribosomal RNA (518 nucleotides) under uncultured bacterium. RNAcentral describes it as "partial 16S ribosomal RNA". It matches the Rfam family "Bacterial small subunit ribosomal RNA", at positions 29 to 507 of the family's 1533-position model. The record is from RNAcentral.